RNAcentral lists this long non-coding RNA (944 nucleotides) under Mus musculus (house mouse). RNAcentral describes it as "long non-coding RNA chr2:58040082-58041026". Lineage: Eukaryota; Metazoa; Chordata; Mammalia; Rodentia; Muridae. The record is from RNAcentral.
UGAGGAUGGCACAGGCCAGCUGUGGGAAGCUGGAUGUUUGCAUAUCUGAACUGAUUCUCAUGUUAAGUAUAGCAAUCCUUAGGUAUUGCUAAAGAACACUUAGAGACCAGGGUCUGCUGCAAUCCUUUUGUUAAGAAAAUAGGUGUUAGUCGACAGAUUACCUAUCUGAUAACUCUCACAGGCCAGUUGUGAAGAACAGGGUAAGAAUUCAGAUCUCUGGGUGUGAAUCUCUCUAUUGUUUGUACCAUGAGCCAUCGUACACCAUUGCCCGUAGAGGUCAUCCAAAGGACAUAACUUCCUGAAGCUGAGCCUUGCAGCAUGGCCUUGCCUGCCUGUGCCUGAUGAUGGAUUUAAGUCUUUGUUCACCUGAAAUCAGAGUAUUUUUGCUCUGGUUUCCUAUUUGACAUUUUAUCUUCCAAUUAAUUAUAAACAAGCAUGACUCUCUGUGAAUAAUGAGAAAGGAAACAUUUUUCCUUUACCAUUACAGCAUACACAGCAUAUUUAAGAUUUCUCAUUCCAGGAACUGAUGAUAAGAGAAUAAUUUCAAAAUGAGGUAAUUCUUACCAAAACAGCCAUAUGAAGAGAGAAAAGCCACACGUCCUUGACAAUAGACUGAGUUGGUGACCAGACGGUACAAAAUGUCUGUUCAUGUCACUCAGUCACUUUCAUGUGACUGAGACACCUUGACUGUGCCUCUGUUCAUUGGUCUGCAGAGCAUGUAUUUUAUCCAAGAACAGUUUACUCAAGGAAAAAUCUUUUUAGCAAAAGAUGAGCCAUGCUUUGGCUAGAUCCACCCUUGGAUAUGAAGAAAGUAAAUUGUUUUGUUGUUGUUGUUGUUGUUUUUGUUUUCCCACAAGAGAACUUUCUGUAGCCUCUGCUCUAUGCACUAUCUAACUGUACCUUGACAUAUCUGUUAUAUAAAGCUACCUCUGAGGACCGUCUAU